This 143-nucleotide non-coding RNA is filed under the name Streptacidiphilus jiangxiensis. RNAcentral's name for it is "SAM-I sequence". It matches the Rfam family "SAM riboswitch aptamer (S box leader)". Rfam says of the family: The SAM riboswitch is found upstream of a number of genes which code for proteins involved in methionine or cysteine biosynthesis in Gram-positive bacteria. The SAM riboswitch acts at the level of transcription termination control. The record is from Rfam by way of RNAcentral. Lineage: Bacteria; Bacillati; Actinomycetota; Actinomycetes; Kitasatosporales; Streptomycetaceae.
CGCUCAUCCAGAGGGACUGAGGGAACGGCCCGUUGAAGUCCCGGCAACCCCCCUGCCAAGCGGUUCGCGUCGAACGACGUGCGCCCGGCCGGGAAGGUGCCAAUUCCGGCCCGUGGCGAAACGCGCCCCGGGGAAGAUGAGGA